GUGUAUGGCGAACAUUUGUUUUUCUGUCAUUAACGUUAUAGAUGCUAGUUUGGUGAAAGUACACACUGAGUGUUUCAAAUCAUUCAGAAGAGAUGCUGUUUUUAAGGGCAGUUUAUUAAAGAAGACCUGACAUGGAUGACUUCCAAUGAGAAACGACUGCUAAUACUUAUAUAAAUUCAUUACAGAAGGACCCUACCAGACUAUUUGAAUACGGCAUACCCAUGAAUUCUGGAACUGUUGUUCCUUAACCCAGUUUGGAGGAUAAGAGCUUACCAACUAGUUAUAAAUAUGCUGAGGUGAUGUAUUGCAAAAUAGCCAACAUACAACAAUUAAAGGAUAAUUGCAGACUACAUCCUGAUGAAGAUAUGGAUGACCCUCUGUCUGGUCAACAAUAGUUUAAAUAUGGAUGGGACAGUGAUGUGGCAGCUCUUCCCUGGCUCAUUCAAUUCUUGCCUUCAUUUGUGAAAGGAAGAAAGACUAGAGAGGGUCAAUGUGC
This is a non-coding RNA of Misgurnus anguillicaudatus (oriental weatherfish), 496 nucleotides long. NCBI's taxonomy places the organism in Eukaryota, Metazoa, Chordata, Actinopteri, Cypriniformes, Cobitidae. The record is from RefSeq and is a predicted model, not a curated record.